UUAGCUCAUAUUUGUAUGGAAUGGGAUCGUUUGCGUACGUUUGUCGCUAGGGGCGCUGUUCCAACUGUAUACAAAAUUGAGUUA
RNAcentral lists this microRNA precursor (84 nucleotides) under Bombyx mori (domestic silkworm). RNAcentral describes it as "mir-2807 microRNA precursor family". It matches the Rfam family "mir-2807 microRNA precursor family". The record is from Rfam by way of RNAcentral. Lineage: Eukaryota; Metazoa; Arthropoda; Insecta; Lepidoptera; Bombycidae.